GGGCCAGUGGUCUAGUGGUAUGAUUCUUCAUUAGGGUUGAAGAGGUCGAGGAUUCGAUUUCCUCCUGGCCCC
Molecule: transfer RNA, 72 nt
Filed under: Bigelowiella natans CCMP2755
Lineage: Eukaryota; Cercozoa; Chlorarachniophyceae
Description: tRNA-Pro for anticodon CGG
Rfam family: tRNA
About the family: Transfer RNA (tRNA) molecules are approximately 80 nucleotides in length. Their secondary structure includes four short double-helical elements and three loops (D, anti-codon, and T loops). Further hydrogen bonds mediate the characteristic L-shaped molecular structure. tRNAs have two regions of fundamental functional importance: the anti-codon, which is responsible for specific mRNA codon recognition, and the 3' end, to which the tRNAs corresponding amino acid is attached (by aminoacyl-tRNA synthetases). tRNAs cope with the degeneracy of the genetic code in two manners: having more than one tRNA (with a specific anti-codon) for a particular amino acid; and 'wobble' base-pairing, i.e. permitting non-standard base-pairing at the 3rd anti-codon position.
Source: RNAcentral